Molecule: transfer RNA, 64 nt
Filed under: Stylochus fafai
Lineage: Eukaryota; Metazoa; Platyhelminthes; Polycladida; Stylochidae
Description: tRNA-Cys
Source: RNAcentral
GAGUUAAUAGCAUAAGUUAUAAUUGCGUUGAAUUGCAGAUUCAAAGGUGUUUUUACUUAACUCU